This 2406-nucleotide long non-coding RNA is filed under the name Ananas comosus (pineapple). Its description in RNAcentral is "long non-coding RNA (ACOM_LNC011985)". The record is from RNAcentral. Lineage: Eukaryota; Viridiplantae; Streptophyta; Magnoliopsida; Poales; Bromeliaceae.
CUGUACGUCCUAGGCGUCGCAAUCAAUACAAUUCACGAUGUUCCAACCAAGAACAGAAAUCAACAUACAGAUUGCAUAUGGAAAGGUAUCAACAACAUAAACACAUCUUAUGUUAUUACAAGCAUUCACAUUGAUACAUUUGCUUACAUCUCAAUUACACUUUCUCUCCAACAUACAAUAUGAGUUAUUACAAUUUAUUACACAUUUGAUACAUCUUGUUCUUUUAUUUUCCUCUACCCCUAGGCUAUGCUGACUCGGGGUACCACUAUCUUUGGUCUCUGGGUAGGGUGCUAUCUACGGAGCUACGCCCUUGCCUCGCGCCGCUGCGCCGCUCAUGUGCAAACCUGUAAAACCCUAAAACAACGUGUGGUGAGAACCAACUCCAUGGUUCCCAGUGGGUACAGCCACCCAGGGGAAAAGCUCGACCAAUAGGUCCAAGGAAGCACUGCAACAAGUUAGUCCAAUAACAUAUAACAGAUAUAUAUAUUCGAUAUUGAACUAAAUGUCAUGCCUCGCAAAAUGCAAUAUGCAAUAUCCGUAACUUGAUUCUACUUCAUAUUAUUAACCAUUCUUUACUUGUAGCCGUUCUUUACUUUAUUAGUUAUUCUUUAUCAUUAGCUUUUCUCUAGUCUUUACUUGGUCACAUAACGCUCAUUGGCGAUUCUUUCCUAAGGUUGCUCAUACCUUAGCCAUCUAUGCCACUUGACUCGGUUUUGAGUCAAUCCUCUACGGAUAGUCCGCACACUGGCUGCUCAACAGCCCAUCGCACUCGAUGACUCGGCCACCCGGCGGCGAAAUCGUCGCACACGCACAGCUCUGGCUCAAGUCACCCUGCGGUAUGAUCCACAAACUGGCUCAACCAUCCGGCGACGAAAUCGUCGCACACGCCAUGACAAUGGUUCUUUAGCCCCGGGCAGCGAAAUCGUCGCACACACCCUGCACAACUCUUGGUGUUCCACGAGUCCUGAGAUUCUGGAAUCCAUUUCACAGUACUCAAGGAUUGGUCUUAACCCUAUGAAAUUGACCUAUCUAGGUCCAAGCCUUUACUCAACCUAAGUUAAUACUUUAGGUUCAUUGCUUUCAUACUCUUAGCCUAGGUUUAUUAACACUAGGUCCAUUAUUCUCGUCUACCUAGAUUCACUUGACUCUAGGUUCUUACCUUUACCUCACAACCUAUGUUCUCUAACAUUAGGUUUAAUGCCUUUCUCGUUAACCUAUGUUUAUUAACACUAGGUUCAUUAUCACUCUUGUUCAACCUAGGUUCACGACUCUAGGUUCAAUGCCACUCGAUCUAUAUGUAUACAUAUGUCCUUUACUCCUAGGUUCACGACUCUAGGUUCAAUGCCACUCGAUCUAUAUGUAUACAUAUGUCCCUUACUUAGCAUUCUUACAUUAACUAUAUUCUUAGCAUUAACCACAUGCUUGCAUUUAUUAAUUCUACAUCAUGCUUAUCAUACAAUUACUUAGCAUUCUUACAUUAACAUUUCUACACAUACAACAUGACUAACGUAUGUCAUUUAUUCUAUGCUUUCCACUUAGCAUUAUUUACACUAUGUCAUUACGCACCGUUUGGUAGCCUCACUUAGCAUUCAUCUCAUGCAUACACAUGGUCUAUUAAUAGCUACCAUUAUAUGCAUCAAUAAUAAUACUCAUUCUUAGACAUACAGGCGACCUAGUCGCUUCGGUAAAUACAACCGACCUUAACUCGCGUUUCGAUUGCUUGUCGACACUUGCAAUCGGCCUCCCGCGGCACCCGUAUCCGGCACAGCCCAAUAUUGCAAUUGCACCACAACCGUGCUCCGCUUCGCAGCCCCGAAAAUUAUAGGUCUUCGGUUAUGUGCCACGGUGCUCCAAAUCCAUUUCCACGAUUUUACGACGUCGCCUCGGCCCUCCAGACGGCAACGAAGCCUAAACGUCUGUUUCUUUAAUAACUUCGCAACGGCUCGUCGGAUUGCCGAACCGUCUUCGCCAACGCAUUUGUUUACCUAGCAAUUAGGCUUACGAAGGGUUAAAUGAGAUCAAACCCACCUCCUAGCAAAAAUUGCAUUACAGAGCCCUAGGUUACAACUAUUGUAAGAAAUCAUUAAAUUGAUCCAUGAUUCAAGCAUUAAUCCUCUAUUUAGCAUCAUAGGAUUCCAAAUAAGCCAUUUCUAUGGAUUAUAAACAAAGAUUUGAAGAUCUACCAUGAAAGGGCUCAAGAAGAUCACCUCAAAAUGAGCUCUAAACCAUGGAGAAGAUGAGGAAGAUGACGGCGAUUCACCUCCAAGCUUCAAUCUCCGCCAAUUUCUUUAAUUUUGGGAGAGAUUUAGAGAGAGAAUUUGAAGUUCUCUCUCUCCCUUCCAUGCGUGUGUGCGUGCGUGUGUAUGUGCGGUUUGGGCUGCUGUGGCUGAGCAAGGAGAAGAAGAA